UAAUACGGAGGUGGCAAGCGUUGUUCGGAUUUAUUGGGUGUAAAGGGUGUGUAGGUGUCCUGAUAAGUCGAAUGUGAAAUCCCUUGGCUCAACCAAGGAAGUGCGUUCGAUACUGUCAGGAUUGAGUAUGGAAGAGGAGAGUGGAAUUCCCGGUGUAAGGGUGAAAUCUGUAGAUAUCGGGAGGAACACCAGUGGCGAAGGCGGCUCUCUGGUCCAAUACUGACACUGAAACACGAAAGCAAGGGGAGCAAACAGGAUUAGAUACCCUGGUAGUCCUUGCAGUAAACGAUGGGCACUAGGUGUAGGCCGCAAGGUCUGUGCCGUAGCAAACGCAUUAAGUGCCCCACCUGGGGAGUACGGCGGCAACGUUG
Molecule: ribosomal RNA, 371 nt
Filed under: uncultured bacterium
Lineage: Bacteria
Description: bacterial SSU rRNA
Rfam family: Bacterial small subunit ribosomal RNA
Source: RNAcentral